Molecule: long non-coding RNA, 1931 nt
Filed under: Zonotrichia albicollis (white-throated sparrow)
Lineage: Eukaryota; Metazoa; Chordata; Aves; Passeriformes; Passerellidae
Description: lncRNA (ENSZALG00000000302.1)
Source: RNAcentral
GGUACUGGUGAUACUGGGAGCGCUGGGAGGUGACGUCAUCGUUAUACUGGGAGCGCUGGGAGAUGACGUCAUGGUGGUACUGGUCAUACUGGGAGCCGCCAUGUUGGUACUGGGAGCACUAGGAGCCGCCAUGUUGGUACUGGGAGCGGCCAUGUUGGUACUGGUGAUACUGGGAGCACUGGGAGAUGACGUCAUGGACAUACUGGACGUACUGGGAGCCGCCAUGUUGAUACUGGGAGUACUGGGAGAUGACGUCAUGGUCGUACUGGUCAAACUGGGAGCACUGGGAGCCGACGCCAUGUUGGUGCUGGUUAUACUGGUCAUACCGGGAGAUGACGUCAUGGUUGUACUGGUCAUACUGGGAACCGCCAUGUUGGUACUGGUCAUACUGGGAGCCGCCAUGCUGGUACUGGGAGCACUGGGAGAUGACGUCACAGGCGUACUGGUUAAACUGGUCAGACUGGGAGCCAUACUGGUCAAACUGGGAGCACUGGUCAAACUGGGAGCAGCCAUACUGGUCACACCGGUGGCCUUGGUGACACUGGCACUGGUAGCACUGGUGACACCGGUGACACUGGAACUGGUCAAACUGGUGACACUGGAACUGGUGACACUGGGAGCCGUUGCCAUGGUGACACUGGUCAUACUGGUGGCACUGGCAGUGGCCUUGGUGACACCAGGGGUGACGGUGACACCAGCAGCGCUCAUACUGGUGGCACUGGAACCGGUGACAUUGCUCAUACUGGUGACACUGGAACCGAUGACAUUGCUCAAACUGGUGGCACUGGUGGCACUGGUGACACUGGGAGCGGUGACGUUGCUCAAACUGGCGGCACUGGUAGCACUGGAACUGGUGACAAUGGUGACACUGGGAGCCGUUGCCAUGGUGNCAACAAAAUGGGCGUGUCCUUAUCAGGUGGGUGGAGCCUAGUUCUAGAAAAAUAAUUUAUAACAUUUGCAUUAAGGGGCGGGGCUUCACCAAUGGGCGUGGCCUAUGUUAGGAAGCGAAUUCCUCCAAUUUACACUACAGGGGGUGGAGUUACACCUAGUGGGCGUGUCCAGUGACAAAGUGGGUGUGUCCUUACCCGAUGGGCGUGGCCUAAUUUUCAAAACGAAAUUCCUUCAUUCUGAAUGGGGUGGGGCCUCAAGUAGUGGGCGGGGCCUAACUUUAGGAAAGGAAUUCUUCCUAUCCAGAUUAGGGGGUGGGGCUUAAUUAAGUGGGCGUGGCUUUAGUGAGGAAACUGAUUCCCCCUUAUCUGCAUAUGGGGGUGGGGCUUAACUUGGUGGGCGUGGCCUAUUAUGGGAAUGGAAUUCCUCCAAACUAUACAGGAGGGUGGGGCUUAACCCAGUGGGCGUGUCCACGGGCAGAGGGGGCGUGUCCUUACCCGGUGGGCGUGGCCUAAUUUUCCAAAAUGAAUUUCCUUCAAUCUGAAUGGGGUGGGGCCUCAAGUAGUGGGCGGGGCCUAGCUUUAGGAAAGGAAUUAAUCUAAUCCACAUGAGGGGGGUGGGGCUUAAUUAAGUGGGCGCGGCUUUAGUCAGGGAGGUGAUUCCCUCUUAUCUGCAUGUGAAGGCGGGGCUUAAUUUGGUGGGCGUGGCCUAAUACAGGAAUGGAAUUUUUUCAAACUGUACAGGAGGGUGGAGCUUAACCCAGUGGGCGUGUCCACGGGCAGAGGGGGCGUGUCCUUACCCGGUGGGCGGGGCCUAAUUUUCAAAACGAAUUUCCUUCAAUUAGAAUGGGGUGGGGCCUCAAGUAGUGGGCGGGGCCUAACUUUAGGAAAGGAAUUCUUCCUAUCCCGAUAAGGGGGUGGGGCUUAAUUAAGUGGGCGUGGCUUUAGUCAGGGAAGUGAUUCUCCCUUAUCUGCAUGUGGGAGUGGGGCUUAAUUUGGUGGGUGUGGCCUAAUACAGGAAUGAAAUUCCUUCAAACUAUACAG